AUGGCCAACGCUUUCUACUCCCUCUACUCUCAUGUGUCGCGCACUCCUCUGCAGAAACUGGCCACACCAGAGUUCAGCUUCUCCUCGUCCCCCGUGGAGAGGAUCGAGCGUUUCAGGAGCACCGUCCGCAGCGAGCCGCGGUCUCCUGUCGAGAGGCUGAAGGACACCGUCUCCAAGAUGUGUCUCUACACAGGCUCUCCUCGCGGGUCAGACUCCACCUCCCCGCAGCCGUCGCCCAAAAAAAGGUCCAGCCUCCCCGAUGUUGUGGAUAUAGUCCUGGAGAAAGUCAAGAUCGGGGUGAGCAAGAAGCUGGAUUUGGAGGACUGUAACGGGAGUAAUUCAGAUGCGGAUGCGAGCCCCGUCACGGGUGGUGAUAAAUCAUGUGGCAUUGGGAAAGAGGAGCAAACACAGCAGACUGUGGCGGACACAGAAACUCUUCAAAGUGGAAAUCAAAACUGUGAGAUGCAGGGCGGUAAACAGACAGAUAAUGUCCAUGCUGAUGAAAAAGGCAUCAGAGCGGCAGAUCUCGACAGCGGGACUUACAGAACAUCCCUGGCGUCGUCCUUGUCGGGAGAAACUGUGAUAGAAAAAGAUCAUCAGCUUCUUUCGUGUCAACCAGAGCUGGACUCAACUCAGACCGAAACGGAGACGCCAAAUCUGAAACCAGUUGCCAAGGUUACGUAUGAUCUAAUCUGCCCGCAGAUAGUCGAGCGUACGCACCAGGCGCCUUUCAGCACACAUUGUCUGAAAACAAACACUCCCGUCUCCUCGGUGACAGAAAGCAUAGAUAGAUCACAUCCUGGAUCGCAAGCUGCUGCCUCUGAGGCCUCACACAUAGGUGCAUCAGCAUCACUUCCUGUCACAGCCUCCGAUGGCAGCUUCACCCAGUGCUACAUCACUGUCACGGGCUCGGAGGGUGACUCGCCGGAUUCCGGUCCUGCUUCGACCGUCCCACCCAUCCUGACUUGUGAGGAGCCGCGUAGCAAGAGGUACCUGAAGCCACUGACACAACAGGGCCCGGGGCAGGUUUCCACUAACCUGCAACAGCUCAACUCCUUUGAGCUGGAGGAGGUGCAUAGUGCAGGAGAGGAAGAUUUUGGACAAACAACCUACCAGUUUACCGAAAAACAUCAGUACAAAGGUGAAGUUAUCCGUGGCGACAGCAUGCAGUCAGACAGCAGCGGCUACGCGGACGAGGAAGUCGGCCUCACACACAGCAGAUGACAGAAAAAGAUAGAGCUUCGUGUCAUUAAUAUUUUCUCACCCGUGGAAUUUUUUCCUGCACUGAAGAUUCGAGUUUCUGUGACUAAGUAUUUGGAAAAUGCAUCCAAGCAAGGACCACCAGUAAAACAGGCCCUGAAGAUUGAAAUCUCAUGGUACUGUAAGAGACUGGGUGACGCGUGAGACUUUCAAAGGCGACCUACGCCGAAGAAGCUUUUGUAUCCCGAUGUGAACGGUUUCUGCCUAGAGCUCUUACUGAAAACACAAUAUUGUAAAUAAUUGAACAUAAAACUAUUCUUCUAGGUCUUUAUGAAAUGUUGUGUGGAUCUUAUGUUAUUAUGCCUCUGCAAGGCAUCUUAUUUAUUUAAUUCUUGUAAACUUUAACAGAGGAGCAGCCGGAAGCAUCUUGAUUUGAAACAUCACAAACCGGUAUGGUUUGUGCACGGCCCAAGACAGGAAGGCUAUACAUCACUGAUACCAAUGUACGGAGUUGAAGUGGGAUGUCUGCACAGAGCCAAAAGGAUACUAAAAGCCACAGUCUGUAGUAUCCACUUCCGUACCAGCAGAAUAUGGAGCAGCUUCAUUCCCCACACUCUUCAAAUGAUCAUCAACACUCAAUUAUGUGAACUACUUUUGUUUCUGUGUGAAUUUAGCGCAAAAAAAAAUCAAACGUAGUUUCUUUGGUGUUGUAAAAAUGAUAAAUAAAUUUACCUUGAACCUUUAUUUGCGGGUUGUCUGUCAGUCCCAUUCUUGUGAAUGUGAUGUCUCAGAAACACGUUGAGGGAAUUUCAUCAUAUUUGGAAAAUAGAUCAGUCCACUCGGACUCAAGAACGAACUGAUGAGGUCUUAGAGGUCGAGGUCACUGUGACCUCACAGGACAUUUUUUCAUCUUACACAAAUGUCUUAUAGGAUAAAAUGAAGUAAUGACGUUUUAUAUCCAAAGGGGUUAAAGGUCAACUUAACUGUGCCAUUAAAACAUUCUGCAAAAAAUGUUUUGGCUAUUAUUCAACACCACAUUUCAGG
Molecule: long non-coding RNA, 2244 nt
Organism: Sparus aurata (gilthead seabream)
Lineage: Eukaryota; Metazoa; Chordata; Actinopteri; Spariformes; Sparidae
Source: Ensembl